GACGAACGCUGGCGGCGUGCCUAAUACAUGCAAGUCGAACGAGAAAUUCUUACACCGGAUGCUUGCAUCCACCGUAAGAUUUCGAGUGGCGGACGGGUGAGUAACACGUGGGUAACCUGCCCAAAAGAAGGGGAUAACAUUUGGAAACAAGUGCUAAUACCGUAUAACCAUGAUGACCGCAUGGUCAUGAUGUAAAAGGUGGUUUUGCUAUCGCUUUUGGAUGGACCCGCGGCGUAUUAACUAGUUGGUAAGGUAACGGCUUACCAAGGUGAUGAUACGUAGCCGAACUGAGAGGUUGAUCGGCCACAAUGGGACUGAGACACGGCCCAUACUCCUACGGGAGGCAGCAGUAGGGAAUCUUCCACAAUGGGCGCAAGCCUGAUGCAGCAACGCCGCGUGCGGGAUGACGGCCUUCGGGUUGUAAACCGCUUUUAGUAAGGAAGAAGGGGGGCCUUCGGGUUUCUUGACGGUACUUGCAGAAAAAGGACCGGCUAACUACGUGCCAGCAGCCGCGGUAACAC
This 521-nucleotide ribosomal RNA is filed under the name uncultured bacterium. RNAcentral describes it as "bacterial SSU rRNA". It matches the Rfam family "Bacterial small subunit ribosomal RNA", at positions 28 to 526 of the family's 1533-position model. The record is from RNAcentral.